UUGGGGCGGAGGCUCUCGCGCACGUCAUUCCUCCCAUUUCUACUACCUUCCCACGCAACCAUCGGCCAUUUUACAAAGCAAGCGUUCAGAGUGCAGCUUAUCCACUCCUCGUCGGCAUUUAUCGUUAGUUUUGAAUAUAGUGCAUUAUUUAAUCUGAUCUAUCACCUUCAAAAGGCUUUUAAACUGUUUUUCUGUCCGCUUGUGUGAAAAUGUCUCGUGACCGCUCCCGUAACCGUGGAGGAUUCCAGCACCGAGGCCGCGGAGGAAUGGGGAUGCGUGGUGGAAUGGGAAACCCUAACUUUAGAAAUCAAAACCAGCAUCCUUAUCAAAACCGAGGACCCCAUAUGGGUGGCGGAUUUAAGCCGAAUCAGGGAAAUCAGCCCAGCCAGGCCUCUACACCACAGAAGCCACAGGAAUCCACUCAGAACAAGCCAGUAGUCCAGUCACCUCCGGCGCAAGGCCCUGGUCUGGCCCAGCAGAGCAACAACAAAGGCCCUUCGCCACAGCAGACCGCCAUCGCCGCUCCGCCGCAGAUCCAGUCUCCACCGCCACAAAAGAUCCAGUCCCCACCGCCACAGAAGAUCCAGUCUCCACCACCACAGAAUAAUGCGAAGAACCCAGACCUCGGUUCUCCACAGAACCAGCUCAGAAAGAACCAACCAAAAGGUGGGAUGGGGAAUGGUCAAAAACCGCCUGCUCCCGUGCAGAAAGAACCGGAAAAGACAGUACCACCGCAACAACAGAGUACCACGAGCAACGAGGGCAUUCAGCCUCAGGAGUUGAAGGCAACGCUAUCUUUGCUGCGCAAGCCUGGAGAGAAAACCUAUACUCAGCGCUGUCGUCUGUUUAUUGGGAACCUACCAAACGACAUCACUGAAACCGAAUUCAGGAAAUUGUUUGCAAAGUAUGGGGAGCCCAGCGAGAUUUUCAUCAAUCAAAGCAAAGGUUUUGGAUUCAUCAGACUGGAAUCCCGUGCAUUGGCAGAGGUUGCAAAAGCUGAGUUGGAUGAUAUUCCCAUGAAAGGCAGACCUCUCAGAGUUCGUUUUGCCACUCAUUCUGCUGCACUUUCUGUGCGCAACUUAUCUCCAUUUGUGUCCAAUGAGCUGCUGGAAGAGGCCUUCUCUCAGUUUGGAGUAGUGGAGAGGGCUGUAGUUAUUGUAGAUGACCGUGGCCGCUCAACAGGGAAAGGCAUUGUUGAGUUUUCUUCCAAACCAGCUGCACGGAAGGCUAUCGAUCGUAUCAGUGAUGGAGUGUUCCUUCUCACAUCGUCACCCCGUCCGAUUGUGGUUGAAUUGUUAGAGCAAUAUGAUGAUGAGGAUGGUUUGCCAGAGAAGCUUGCACAGAAGAACCCCAGUUAUCAGAAGGAGCGAGAUCAGCCUCCUCGGUUCGCCCGUCCUGGCACCUUUGAGUUUGAAUACUCCCAGCGAUGGAAGUCCCUUGAUGAGAUGGAGAAACAACAGAGGCAGCAAGUAGAGAAAAACAUUCGUGAGGCCCGUGAGAAGCUAGAAGCAGAGAUGGAAGAUGCUUAUCAUGAGCAUCAAGCGAACAUGCUCAGACAGGACCUUCUUAGACGUCAAGAGGAACUUCGUCGUAUGGAAGAAAUGCACAGUCAGGAGAUGCAGAAACGUAAAGAAAUGCAACUCAGACAGGAAGAGGAACGCCGCAGGAGAGAGGAGGAGAUGAUGCGGCAGAGGGAAAUUGAAGAUCAGAUGAGGCGCAAACGUGAGGAGUCUUACAGAAUGGGUGGCUUUAUGGAUAAUAGAGACAGGGAGAUGAGAAUGAAUUCUAGUGGAGGCCUUGGAUUGGCUGAUAUGCCGUUUGGGUCACCUAGCCAGAAGUUCCCAUUGGCAGGAAUGAAUUUUGAAGGACACCAAGGAAUGGGGGGACAAGCAUCAGGGGGCAUGGUGUCCAACGAAAUGGGGCCUCAGGUGAUUGAAGGAGGUUAAGAAGCAUCAUACAGUUUCAGAAAUGGAUCAACCGAGGAACCUGUGAACUAAUGACUUGUUCAGCAGUAGAUGUUCCUGUACAGCGGACGAUAAUAUGCAGUCCUGUGGGAGUGAGACGUACAGAUGAGACGUGGCAGCAGGGAAAUCUUUACUGCAGCACUGGAUGCAUCAUGACUGUUGUCCGAAACGCUCAAGUCUUUUUGUGAGAUGUAAGAUGACAACGGAACGAGGGAAAGGGAGACCGGGAGGGAGAAUUUGGUGGUGUGCGACCAAUGGGCUUGCCUGAUGUAUUUUUAAUGUGCAUGAAUGAUUGAUCACUGUAUGCGGACACAUGCACCCCUGAGGGGCGGCUGCAGUCCGUCUGGUGCAGACAUGAGUGCAACCACGAGACCUUCGGGGCUGAGCGUGAACACUGUGGAGUUAAAGCAUCAGUGGGCAAUGCAGAGAAAUCGCACUCUGGUCCGGACGUACCUGCUCUCCAGCUCUGUGCUCCCACUUCCUGGCUCACGGAGCAGAGAUGAUUUCAGGCUUCCAUCAUUGUCCAGAUCAACACAUGGUCGGACCACCAUGGUGCCUCUCAGUAUCAGCGAGCCUUCCCUGUUCACCCCAGGCCAGAGGGCGGUUUUCGAGGGGUUUUCGAAAAACCACCACCCCCUUUUACUCAAAAGCGGCCCAUCUCUUUCCUCCUGUGAGACCCCUGAGAACACAAAGACGCAUCAGCAGAGCUAUCAUCAAGUGUACAUGCAUUUCUCUCAGCCUCUGAGGCCUGUACCAAAGGUUACACAAACCAUUAAUCGCAGUCAGCGGCGGUCCACAGAGAGCAGAGGCUUACAGCCGUUAGUGAGGCAGUGCAGGCAGCCUGUAAACCUUGAGACUUUAUCUGUCAGAGGAAAGACUUGCCUCCCCACCCGGCAUUUACCUGAUGCUUCAUCUGCCACGUCUCGUACUCAGCUGCAUGUGUUCUUGCCUGCAGAGGGCGCUGGACGGGAGGAAGACAGAGACAGUGAGUCAGUCGAUGAGGGUUUCAUGGAUGAGCUGGAUAGCAAAUUCUCCACAGUGAGGCUUCAACAAGAUCCAAAGAAACCCAAACAGUGUGGUUUAGAAAAGUCACUGACAGGUGAAAUGGUACGAUUAACAUCUUAGUGUCAUCAUUGUUGGGUGUAAUUCAUUACUGAACUAAUUACUGUAAUUUAAUUAGGCUACUUUUCCCUUAAAAAAGUAAAGGGAUUACUCUUGAUUUUUCUGUAAUGUAACUAAUUACAGUUACUUCAGAUGUAAUUGCAUUGAACACUGUAUAGACUAUACAACUAUAUUAAACAAUAGUGGAUUUAACAUCAAAACUACAUGUUAAAAUGUCUGUUUUUAACGUAACCUUCUCCCUUUACAGACUUCGGUCAGUUGUUUAUUUGAAAAAAUUAAAAGUGCAGUUUCAUAUCCUUGUAUUGUUCAACUGGUCGAGGUUGAUGUAAAGUAAUUAAGUAAUCCAAUACUUUUUUACACUGCUGAAGAUGUAUGCAGCUAGCAAUUAAUUACUUUUUUUAGAGUAACUUACCUAACACUGAAUGUCAUGCCUUUAUUUUAGCAUUUCAUAUUUUGCAACAUCAGAUAAAUACAGAAAUGACAAAUGUUUCCUCUCAAUGUGUGUUGUAAUGUAUGUCAUUAUAAUAAAACAAAAUUAUGAUGAAA
Molecule: RNA transcript, 3632 nt
Organism: Megalobrama amblycephala (Wuchang bream)
Lineage: Eukaryota; Metazoa; Chordata; Actinopteri; Cypriniformes; Xenocyprididae
Gene: sfpq
Gene name: splicing factor proline/glutamine-rich
Exons: 14
Source: RefSeq, a predicted model, not a curated record